UACAAAGGAAGUUAGACGGGGGCCCGGCGACAAGCGGUGGGGUAGUGUGGUUAAUUCGAUGCAACGCGAGAACCUUACCUGGUCUUGACAUCCCGGAGACCCUUAGGAAACUAGGGGGUGGCUUCCAUCUGGAAGAAUCUGGAGACAGGUGCUGCAUGGCUGUCGUCAGCUCGUGUCGCGAGAUGUUGGGUUAAGUCCCGCAACGAGCGCAACCCUUGCCUUUAGUUGCCAGCAGUUCGGCUGGGCACUCUAAAGGGACUGCCGGUGUUAAACCGGAGGAAGGUGGGGAUGACGUCAAGUCCUCAUGGCCUUUAUGACCAGGGCUACACACGUACUACAAUGGCCGAUACAAAGGGCAGCGACACUGCGAGGUGAGGCCAAUCCCGUAAAAUCGGUCUCAGUCCGGAUUGGAGUCUGCAACUCGACUCCAUGAAGUUGGAAUCGCUAGUAAUCGUGGAUCAGCAUGCCACGGUGAAUACGUUCCCGGGCCUU
This 492-nucleotide ribosomal RNA is filed under the name uncultured Desulfobulbus sp. Its description in RNAcentral is "bacterial SSU rRNA". It matches the Rfam family "Bacterial small subunit ribosomal RNA", at positions 903 to 1382 of the family's 1533-position model. The record is from RNAcentral. Lineage: Bacteria; Pseudomonadati; Thermodesulfobacteriota; Desulfobulbia; Desulfobulbales; Desulfobulbaceae.